Molecule: ribosomal RNA, 596 nt
Filed under: Cutaneotrichosporon sp.
Lineage: Eukaryota; Fungi; Basidiomycota; Tremellomycetes; Trichosporonales; Trichosporonaceae
Description: partial large subunit ribosomal RNA
Rfam family: Eukaryotic large subunit ribosomal RNA
Source: RNAcentral
AAACUAACAAGGAUUCCCUUAGUAACGGCGAGUGAACCGGGAAAAGCUCAAAUUUGUAAUCUGGCUGUCUUCGAUAGUCCGAGUUGUAAUCUAUAGACGUGUUUUCCGCGCUGGACCGCAUCGAAGUCCCUUGGAACAGGGUAUCAAAGAGGGUGACAAUCCCGUGCUUGAUGCGACUACCAGUGCUCUGUGAUACACGUUCUACGAGUCGAGUUGUUUGGGAAUGCAGCUCAAAAUGGGUGGUAAAUUCCAUCUAAAGCUAAAUAUUGGCGAGAGACCGAUAGCGAACAAGUACCGUGAGGGAAAGAUGAAAAGCACUUUGGAAAGAGAGUUAAAUAGUACGUGAAAUUGUUGAAAGGGAAACGAUUGAAGUCAGUCGUGUUCUUCAGAUUCAGCUGGUUCUUCCAGUGUACUUCUGUUGAACGGGUCAACAUCAGUUUUGUCCGGUGGAUAAAGGUAGUAGGAAUGUGACUCCCCCGGGAGUGUUAUAGCCUAUUAUUGCAUACACUGGGUGAGACUGAGGACUGCAGCUCGCCUUUUGGCCGGUCUUCGGACACGUUCGAGCUUAGGAUGUUGACAUAAUGGCUUUAAACGAC